This 520-nucleotide ribosomal RNA is filed under the name uncultured Glomus. RNAcentral describes it as "SSU rRNA". It matches the Rfam family "Eukaryotic small subunit ribosomal RNA", at positions 569 to 1092 of the family's 1831-position model. Lineage: Eukaryota; Fungi; Glomeromycota; Glomeromycetes; Glomerales; Glomeraceae. The record is from RNAcentral.
AGCAGCCGCGGUAAUUCCAGCUCCAAUAGCGUAUAUUAAAGUUGUUGCAGUUAAAAAGCUCGUAGUUGAAUUUCGGGAUCAGCAGGUUGGUCGUGCCACUGGUAUGCACUGGUCUAGCUGGUUUCUCCUUCUUGAAGAACCGUGAUGUCAUUAAGUUGGUGUUGCGGGGAACCAGGACUGUUACUUUGAAAAAUCAGAGUGUUUAAAGCAGGCUAACGCUUGAAUACAUUAGCAUGGAAUAAUGAAAUAGGACGUCGAUUCUAUUUUGUUGGUUUCUAGGGUUGACGUAAUGAUUAAUAGGGAUAGUUGGGGGCAUUAGUAUUCAAUUGUCAGAGGUGAAAUUCUUGGAUUUAUUGAAGACUAACUACUGCGAAAGCAUUUGCCAAAGAUGUUUUCAUUAAUCAAGAACGAAAGUUAGGGGAUCGAAGACGAUCAGAUACCGUCGUAGUCUUAACCAUAAACUAUGCCGACUAGGGAUCGGAUGAUGUUAAUUUUUAGUCGACUCAUUCGGCGCCUUAAC